AUACGGAGGGUCCAAGCGUUAUCCGGAUUCAUUGGGUUUAAAGGGUGCGCAGGCGGGCUUGUAAGUCAGUGGUGAAAUACUGCCGCUUAACGGUAGAACUGCCAUUGAUACUGCAAGUCUUGAAUAUGGUUGAGGUAGGCGGAAUGUGUUGUGUAGCGGUGAAAUGCAUAGAUAUGACACAGAACGCCAAUUGCGAAGGCAGCUUACUAAGCCAUUAUUGACGCUGAGGCACGAAAGCGUGGGGAGCGAACAGGAUUAGAAACCCUAGUAGUCC
This 274-nucleotide ribosomal RNA is filed under the name uncultured bacterium. RNAcentral's name for it is "partial 16S ribosomal RNA". It matches the Rfam family "Bacterial small subunit ribosomal RNA", at positions 523 to 796 of the family's 1533-position model. The record is from RNAcentral.